RNAcentral lists this ribosomal RNA (399 nucleotides) under uncultured bacterium. RNAcentral describes it as "bacterial SSU rRNA". It matches the Rfam family "Bacterial small subunit ribosomal RNA", at positions 356 to 772 of the family's 1533-position model. The record is from RNAcentral.
UAGGAAUUUUGGGCAAUGGGCGGAAGCCUGACCCAGCAACGCCGCGUGGGUGAUGAAGGCCCUCGGGUCGUAAAGCCCUUUUCCCAGGGAAGAUAGUGACGGUACCUGGGGAAUCAGCCCCGGCUAACUCCGUGCCAGCAGCCGCGGUAAUACGGAGGGGGCUAGCGUUGUUCGGAAUUACUGGGCGUAAAGCGCGCGUAGGCGGCUUUGUAAGUUAGAGGUGAAAGCCCGGAGCUCAACUCCGGAAUUGCCUUUAAGACUGCAUCGCUAGAAUCAUGGAGAGGUGAGUGGAAUUCCGAGUGUAGAGGUGAAAUUCGUAGAUAUUCGGAAGAACACCAGUGGCGAAGGCGACUCACUGGACAUGUAUUGACGCUGAGGUGCGAAAGCGUGGGGAGCAAA